CAGAGUUUGAUCCUGGCUCAGGACGAACGCUGGCGGCGUGCCUAAUACAUGCAAGUCGAGCGGACAGAUGGGAGCUUGCUCCCUGAUGUUAGCGGCGGACGGGUGAGUAACACGUGGGUAACCUGCCUGUAAGACUGGGAUAACUCCGGGAAACCGGGGCUAAUACCGGAUGCUUGUUUGAACCGCAUGGUUCAGACAUAAAAGGUGGCUUCGGCUACCACUUACAGAUGGACCCGCGGCGCAUUAGCUAGUUGGUGAGGUAACGGCUCACCAAGGCGACGAUGCGUAGCCGACCUGAGAGGGUGAUCGGCCACACUGGGACUGAGACACGGCCCAGACUCCUACGGGAGGCAGCAGUAGGGAAUCUUCCGCAAUGGACGAAAGUCUGACGGAGCAACGCCGCGUGAGUGAUGAAGGUUUUCGGAUCGUAAAGCUCUGUUGUUAGGGAAGAACAAGUGCCGUUCAAAUAGGGCGGCACCUUGACGGUACCUAACCAGAAAGCCACGGCUAACUACGUGCCAGCAGCCGCGGUAAUACGUAGGUGGCAAGCGUUGUCCGGAAUUAUUGGGCGUAAAGGGCUCGCAGGCGGUUUCUUAAGUCUGAUGUGAAAGCCCCCGGCUCAACCGGGGAGGGUCAUUGGAAACUGGGGAACUUGAGUGCAGAAGAGGAGAGUGGAAUUCCACGUGUAGCGGUGAAAUGCGUAGAGAUGUGGAGGAACACCAGUGGCGAAGGCGACUCUCUGGUCUGUAACUGACGCUGAGGAGCGAAAGCGUGGGGAGCGAACAGGAUUAGAUACCCUGGUAGUCCACGCCGUAAACGAUGAGUGCUAAGUGUUAGGGGGUUUCCGCCCCUUAGUGCUGCAGCUAACGCAUUAAGCACUCCGCCUGGGGAGUACGGUCGCAAGACUGAAACUCAAAGGAAUUGACGGGGGC
RNAcentral lists this ribosomal RNA (932 nucleotides) under Bacillus subtilis. RNAcentral's name for it is "bacterial SSU rRNA". It matches the Rfam family "Bacterial small subunit ribosomal RNA", at positions 8 to 920 of the family's 1533-position model. The record is from RNAcentral. Lineage: Bacteria; Bacillati; Bacillota; Bacilli; Caryophanales; Bacillaceae.